RNAcentral lists this unclassified non-coding RNA (231 nucleotides) under Hevea brasiliensis (rubber tree). The record is from RNAcentral. Lineage: Eukaryota; Viridiplantae; Streptophyta; Magnoliopsida; Malpighiales; Euphorbiaceae.
UAAGUCUUGUCCCCUCCCUCCGAGAAAGGCUUCCUUACUAGCAAGUCAAUGACAUAAAUGAUAAAUGUGAAGUACCCAUACAAGCUCAUAUGUGCUGUGACAAAUGAUAGAUCUUCCAAUAAAGGGUCAGGCCGAGCACAAGUUACAUUAAAUAAUCAUCAUAAUCGGAAAAUGUAGACUGCAAAAUUCGAAAUUAAGGAAACAAUAACAUGAAAGAAUCAGAUGGUUUUA